GAGUGAAAAAGAACCUGAAACCGUGUACGUACAAGCAGUGGGAGCACAGGUUUACCUGUGUGACUGCGUACCUUUUGUAUAAUGGGUCAGCGACUUAUAUUCUGUAGCAAGGUUAACCGUAUAGGGGAGCCGUAGGGAAACCGAGUCUUAAUUGGGCGUUAAGUUGCAGGGUAUAGACCCGAAACCCGGUGAUCUAGCCAUGGGCAGGUUGAAGGUUGGGUAACACUAACUGGAGGACCGAACCGACUAAUGUUGAAAAAUUAGCGGAUGACCUGUGGCUGGGGGUGAAAGGCCAAUCAAACCGGGAGAUAGCUGGUUCUCCCCGAAAGCUAUUUAGGUAGCGCCUCGUGAAUUCAUCUCCGGGGGUAGAGCACUGUUUCGGCUAGGGGGCCAUCCCGGCUUACCAACCCGAUGCAAACUGCGAAUACCGGAGAAUGUUAUCACGGGAGACACACGGCGGGUGCUAACGUCCGUCGUGAAGAGGGAAACAACCCAGACCGCCAGCUAAGGUCCCAAAGUCAUGGUUAAGUGGGAAACGAUGUGGGAAGGCCCAGACAGCCAGGAUGUUGGCUUAGAAGCAGCCAUCAUUUAAAGAAAGCGUAAUAGCUCACUGGUCGAGUCGGCCUGCGCGGAAGAUGUAACGGGGCUAAACCAUGCACCGAAGCUGCGGCAGCGACACUAUGUGUUGUUGGGUAGGGGAGCGUUCUGUAAGCCUGUGAAGGUGUGUCGUGAGGC
This 735-nucleotide ribosomal RNA is filed under the name Salmonella enterica subsp. enterica serovar Bonn. Its description in RNAcentral is "partial 23S ribosomal RNA". It matches the Rfam family "Bacterial large subunit ribosomal RNA", at positions 536 to 1269 of the family's 2925-position model. The record is from RNAcentral. Lineage: Bacteria; Pseudomonadati; Pseudomonadota; Gammaproteobacteria; Enterobacterales; Enterobacteriaceae.